UGGCACAGUGGUUAAAGUGCUCGGUUGCGAACUGAAAGGUCGGUGGUUCGAAUCCACC
RNAcentral lists this transfer RNA (58 nucleotides) under Loxodonta africana (African savanna elephant). It matches the Rfam family "tRNA", at positions 8 to 63 of the family's 71-position model. Rfam says of the family: Transfer RNA (tRNA) molecules are approximately 80 nucleotides in length. Their secondary structure includes four short double-helical elements and three loops (D, anti-codon, and T loops). The record is from Rfam by way of RNAcentral. Lineage: Eukaryota; Metazoa; Chordata; Mammalia; Proboscidea; Elephantidae.